This is a long non-coding RNA of Bubalus bubalis (water buffalo), 1130 nucleotides long. RefSeq lists it as uncharacterized. NCBI's taxonomy places the organism in Eukaryota, Metazoa, Chordata, Mammalia, Artiodactyla, Bovidae. The transcript has 3 exons. The record is from RefSeq and is a predicted model, not a curated record.
GAAGAUAAAAAUCAGGAAAUCGUUCCAAAAAAGGGACAAAGCUGUUUUUUGUUUUUUUUAAAUGAGGAAACAGCUAAAUUGAGGGCAUUUUUUACCCCCUGGCCUCAUGUUUCCAUGUAUACUUCCUGCUAGGGAACUCUCCAGGCCUUUCUCAGACAUGCCCACCACACCUCCCCAGGAGAGGAAGCUUGCCUGUGGGCUCUCUUUGGUUUUCUCUCUUCUCAGCCAGUGAUCUGUGUUCUGCCAGGUGACAUUGAGCCCGCCCCUGCAGAGAAAACCUGCUUUGCCCAGCUCUGCCUGUGACUAGGAAGGAGAGCCUCUUGGCUUUUGUGGGAGAAAGAUGGGCCACUCCUGCCAAGCAAGAUCAACAAACACCUCCAAGGCCAAGGCAUCUCUGCCAGCAUCACCCUGCAGAUGACUCAGUAGCCUGGCAGCUUGACAACUGGCCUCAGCGAACCCUCGAGCUAUUGCCUUCGGGAUCUGCCUGAGAGCACCUGAGCAGAGGCUGAGGAGGCCAGUGUGCUGGGAGGCCAGCGGGACCCAGCAGCCUUCGCCCACGUUGGAAUCUCCCCCUGUUUCCCAAAGUCGGUGCUGGAGGCGGAGGUGGGGGUGCCCUUGUCACCAGCUCCGUCCAGAAAGCGUGAUGAAGGGCAUCUGCCAGGCCUCGGGGUGAGGGUAAGGGGUGGGUGGAGGUGGGGAUCCGUGGCCCACUCCCUGCUCUACCACCCUCGGCCUCCACUAGGGACCCUCUGUUCCCCCACCCCCAUCUGGAGAGUACCCUCCGUCCUCUCCAGGCCCAGGCUCGACUCAGACUUGGUCUUGGGCCUCCUCCUGGGCUGGUUCUGAAUGUAAACCGCCAUCCGGGUCUUCAACUGGUCAGCAGGUGGCGGUGGGUGAGUUCUACACUUCCUGGUUCCAUCUUGGAUUCAUCUCCCAGGUUGCUCCCCACGCCUUCACACCACACAGGCCUCUGGGGUCUGUCCACUGACGCUCCCAGUCCAGCCCCCUGCCUCGAGCCCCCGUUCAGGGCCACCUGGCUGCCUGUGACCCUUCUAGGCAAUAGCUUUUCUUCUAAUUAACUUUUUUUUUUUUCUUUUUGAGAAAAAAAUAAAACCUUUAUUGGACUCUGU